RNAcentral lists this ribosomal RNA (232 nucleotides) under uncultured bacterium. RNAcentral describes it as "partial 16S ribosomal RNA". It matches the Rfam family "Bacterial small subunit ribosomal RNA", at positions 333 to 557 of the family's 1533-position model. The record is from RNAcentral.
UGACACCUACGGGGGGCAGCAGUAGGGAAUCUUCCACAAUGGACGAAAGUCUGAUGGAGCAACGCCGCGUGAGUGAAGAAGGGUUUCGGCUCGUAAAGCUCUGUUGGUAGUGAAGAAAGAUAGAGGUAGUAACUGGCCUUUAUUUUACGGUAAUUACUUAGAAAGUCACGGCUAACUACGUGCCAGCAGCCGCGGUAAUACGUAGGUGGCAAGCGUUAUCCGGAUUUAUUGG